GUAAAAUGUUACAUUUCACAUAAAAGUUAAAGGACCACUAUAGUGCCCCCACCCUCAGGGUCCCACUCCCUGCCGGGCUGGUUGGAGAGGAAGGGGGUAAACACUUAACUUUCUCCACCGCUGGGCUUUCUCGGUGCUGGGGACUCUCCUCCUCCUUUCCCCGUCAUCGGCUGAAUGUGCAUGCGCGGCAAGAGCAGCGCGCGCAUUCAGCCAGUCUCACAGGAAAGCAUUCUCAAUGCUUUCCUAUGGAUGCUGGCGUCUUCUCACUGUGAAAAGCACAGCGAGAAGCACGGAGGCGCCUCUAGCGUCUGUCAAUGAGACAGCCACUAGAGGCUGGAUUAACCCAUUUGUAAACAUAGCAGUUUCUCAGAAACUGCUAUGUUUACAGCAGGCAGGAUUAAUCCUAGCUGGACCUGGCACCCAGACCACUUCAUUAAGCUGAAGUGGUCUGGGUGCCUAUAGUGGUCCUUUAAUAUUUUAAAAUAAAAUAAAAAAAUGCAAGGGAAACAAGGUGACCAAGGGAAAGUGGUUCAUAAAAGGUAAAGGUCAGCGGAGUCUUUCAAUUUAUGAAAUGAUGGAGAAUAUGUCUGAAUGAUCAAACAUAAUAGUUAUUCUGUAGAGCUAAAGCAAUGAUGUUGCUAAUAGAGAGGACAGUGCUCUCAGGAUUAUACUACAAGUUAUAUAGUCUGGAAUUUUUGGAACUGGAGUGAAAAGUAGAUACAAGAAAUGAUGGUGGAGAAGGUUUCUCUAGGUACCGUUUAUAAAAACAAUGGUUUGGCAUUGCACGACAAUGACCAGGUCACUCAUUGAUGUGAGUAAAACAGCAAAGUGCUUGUUUUAGGAGAAAAAUUAAAUUCAAUAACAUUUUUUGUAAAAGUAAUAUACUUACUGACUGCAUUGUUGUCUUUUAUUAUGCUCCACUAUUUAUUUGUAGAAAAUACUGAAGCUUCUACUGUCAUCUUUGGCAGGCUGUUGACAAAUACAGAGCUUAAGAUAUUAUUUGCAAAAACAAUUUGGGGAUAGCCAAUCAACUGCCGAUUGCUGAACCACGAGUUGGAAAACAAAAAUGUAGGCAUCUGAUAAAUUUGUAAUAAAUAGAUGGGGGGUGUAGUUUACAUGGUCGUCACUGCACACGGAGUAUUUUUUUGAAUAUUUCCUAGCAGGUCGUAUCAGUGGCUGUUUUGCCCAUACUGUUUGUAAAUAUUGGACUACAUUCACACAGGACACCACUUUGAGAAUACUUCAUUUCAUAGGAGACAGGGAAUGUUUCUGCUGAUGGACAUCCACUUAUUUUAUUACCAUGAAGGCUAACUCUGUUUCACUUUAUAGCAGCGGACGUUUGUGACCUCGGUUGAUUAUAUAGUGCCUUUAUUUCCUUAAGAAAAAAAACACACAAUCAAUAAAUUAUAAUGUUUGACUUGUGUGAAGUGCUACAGCCCUUGAGAAAGCCACAAAGAGUAGGAGUCCUGCAGACACGUGACAACAUGUGAGAUAUUCUUUGUGUUGUUUUUUGAGGAAACACUGGAGGACACGCUCACGGAUUGCCAGAACAAUGCAGUGCUGUAAGUCAUGGGACCUUUAUAGUGUCAGCAAGGGGACUGGAUACCAUAUUUUCUCUCUCUCAUUAGGCCUCUGAUAAAGGAGACAAUGACUCUAGGCAAGAGGAACGGUGUAUGGUGAUAUCGUAAAUCUGUAAAUAUGACUGUUGGUUGUGCAUAAGACAUGUCGGGGUGUAUGGUAUGACUGUGAAAAAGUGAAUGCGAAUUAAAAAAAACUGC
Molecule: non-coding RNA, 1778 nt
Organism: Pelobates cultripes (western spadefoot toad)
Lineage: Eukaryota; Metazoa; Chordata; Amphibia; Anura; Pelobatidae
Source: the annotation of a GenBank genome assembly